Molecule: long non-coding RNA, 1134 nt
Filed under: Pongo abelii (Sumatran orangutan)
Lineage: Eukaryota; Metazoa; Chordata; Mammalia; Primates; Hominidae
Description: lincRNA
Source: RNAcentral
AUUCAGCUGGCCCACUGCUUCCUAUCUUUGUACAGGAAAAGCUAAGUCCAGACAAAGCCCUGAUGAAUAGAGGGCCUGCGCAGAGUGCCCGGGGUGCAGGGCAGCAGGGCAGCCAGUGAACCACUGAGCUCGCACUGUGGCCAGUCCUGUGGGCCCCUGCUGGAUUCUGCUUCUAUGAGGGAGGCAGCAAGGAGUUGGGACUUCACAGGUGAAAGGACUUGCCAGGUUUUGUUAAGGUUUAGCACAAGCUGUGAUGAAUAUCUUCAAGCCUCUGCUUCCUGCUGUGGAAUUGUUGCCAAAGGACACAUUCCCAGAUGGGAUUACUGAGUCAGAGGAAGUGGACAUUGAGUGGCUGUCAACAGACAGGCACUCUCACAGUGCCCAGCUUCCCAUGGGUGGUCAGCCGAAUGCAUUUUGGGAGAAAGCAGGUCUCGUGGAUAAUAUUUCUGAAGAUCAGAGCAGGUUGUGUCGGGUCAACGUUGGCCACGACUGCAGCACGCUCCGGAGGCAGCAGGGGGCACCCUGGAGCUUCGCAUCCUCCCUCAGGCCCGCGGCUUCUGCCCUGGCUCCACCAUCCCCAGGCGUCUCAGGCCUCAGUUUCCUCCUCAUGAGAGGUGGAGCAGUGGUUCCCAAACAUGACAUUGAAAGUGUGAUCCUGGGCCUGACUCUGAAGCUCUUCCAGCAUCCACCUUCCCAAGUGACCAGACUCUUGGGAAGGCAUCACCUCAAGAUCUCUGCACCCUUCCUCCAGAGUCCUGGGGUUAAGCUAAGUUCUGGGAAGGUGCCUGCCUCCCUUGGGCCUCCCUGCUGCGCCUGGCCAUGUGGAAACCCCUGUAGCUCCCUGGCUGUGCAGGAGCAGCCACAGUGUGCCCCUCCCAGGACCACCGUCCCCCUCACUGUCUCUGAGGCACCUGCAUGGACCAGGUCUGGAUUGAGUCUCAUUUCUCUGGAUUCCCACAGCAGCCGGUGGCUGCCUCUCCCACACCUGUCACUCCGUGUCAUGGAAAGCUGUGUGUCUUCCUUCCCACCGAGUCUGAGCCACUCGAGGUCAGGGCCAUGACCGUGAGCUGCACGUCCUCGGCGCCCAGUGUGAACCAUGUACAGUAGAGGCCGACUGACGUCUUGGAGGCAGAA